This 409-nucleotide ribosomal RNA is filed under the name uncultured bacterium. RNAcentral describes it as "bacterial SSU rRNA". It matches the Rfam family "Bacterial small subunit ribosomal RNA", at positions 32 to 423 of the family's 1533-position model. The record is from RNAcentral.
AAUCAACGCUGGCGGCGUGCCUAACACAUGCAAGUCGAACGAGAAGGUGACUUCGGUCACUGGAUAGUGGCGUCCGGGUGAGUAACACGUAGGUAAUCUACCUUCGGGUGGGGAAUAACGUCUCGAAAGAGACGCUAAUACCGCAUAAUGCAGCGGCACCUAAUGGUGAUUAGUUGUUAAAGCGGGGAGUCUUCGGACCUCGCGCCUGAAGAGGAGCCUGCGGCAGAUUAGCUAGUUGGUGAGGUAAUGGCUCACCAAGGCUUCGAUCUGUAGCUGGUCUGAGAGGACGGCCAGCCACACUGGCACUGACACACGGGCCAGACUCCUACGGGAGCAGCAGUGGGGAAUUUUGGGCAAUGGGCGAAAGCCUGACCCAGCAACGCCGCGUGAAGGAGGAAAUCCUUCGGGA